RNAcentral lists this microRNA precursor (205 nucleotides) under Oryza glumipatula. RNAcentral's name for it is "MIR812 microRNA precursor family". It matches the Rfam family "MIR812 microRNA precursor family". Lineage: Eukaryota; Viridiplantae; Streptophyta; Magnoliopsida; Poales; Poaceae. The record is from Rfam by way of RNAcentral.
AAAAAGACAAACCCUGGUUUCCGUGUCCAACGUUUGACCGUCCGUCCUAUUUGAAAAAAAUAUGAAAAAAAUUAAAAAGACAAGUCACGUAUAAAAUAUUAAUCAUGUUUUAUCAUCUAACAACAAUGAAAAUACAAAUUAUAAAAAAAAUUCAUAUAAGACGGACAGUCAAAGUUGGACACGGAAACCCACAGUUUGCUUUUUU